RNAcentral lists this long non-coding RNA (813 nucleotides) under Anas platyrhynchos platyrhynchos (common mallard). RNAcentral describes it as "lncRNA (ENSAPLG00000020235.1)". Lineage: Eukaryota; Metazoa; Chordata; Aves; Anseriformes; Anatidae. The record is from RNAcentral.
CCCAAGCGCUUUCUGCUGUUUAGCUUUUUGUUGGUUGAUUGGUCUUCUUGUGGGUACCAGGCAUUCUUUCUGAGCUUAGUGGCUGUGGAAGAGAUCACUGCCUAUUUCAGAAGGUGUACGUAACUCAGCACUCAAGCCCUUUGGGUUGCUGAGACAGACAAUGCUAAUGCACGGAGCAGUCGAGAAUUGCAUUUGCCAGGGCUGGCCCUGGGAGCGGGCAGCCACCCAAGGUUUCACAGACUCGGUGAUGUCCUCAGAGUUGUAGUGGGGGAGGAGAAUACUGCACCCAGUUACACUGCCCAGUGUGGUACGCACCUUCUGGGACUAUGGCAGGUGAGCGCCCGUCCCACAUGCCCUCCUGCUGAAGGUUGUGGGUGAAACGUGUUCAGUGAGCUCCAGUAGCAAGGCACCGCAUCCCACCAGAUAUGACGGCUUUUCAAAGCCCUUUUGGGGGUGAGUUCUUCGUUUGCCUUUUUUGUUUUUUUCCAAAGUACUGCUGAGGCAAUAUUACAUCGCCCAGCCCUGCGUACGUGCUGCCACAUUCUGGAAGAUGGAAAACAAAAGCUAAAAGAGGAUGGUUAACCUUUUCUAAUUGUCGCAGUACAGGACUAGUUGCCAGGAGGAACUUGAGUGCUAAUCCUGCUUUACUCACCAUGUGACCUUUGGGUAAGUUACCUAAUUACCUUGUCCUUCAGUCAACGGAGCCUGUAAAGAGCAGGUGUUUCAGUGAAACCCACGACUGCUGAGACAACGUGUGUCCUUAGGAAACAACCAGAGAAUAAAACUCAAUGCAAUUUUUUAAAGGUGGAUUUA